CCCAAGAGGACCUGGUGGCUAUUUGCAGAGAGAAAUCUGUCCCAUCCAGAUGUUGCUAGCCUGGCCCUGCUGCUCACCUCCCACUGCUCUGUGACCUUGGGAGCUUUGGAUCUCCACCUAGGAUGAACUCCAAUUCCAGAUUGAAGCCAUCCAUAGCAGGGGAUACGGAAAGGGGACUGUUAAACCACCAGCAAUCUAGGCAGCAAAAACCUUGUAUUCCUUUGCCUGAUUGGCCCUUGGGCCGUGUUAUGGAGGAAGGUCCCUGCUCAUCUGGGCCUGGAGGCUCUACACCCAGCAGGGCACUUGCUGUAGUUUGGGAAAAGGGAUUGGGCUUCAGUCUUCAGAAUGGAUGGAAGCUGCAAAGAAGAG
This 369-nucleotide long non-coding RNA is filed under the name Rattus norvegicus (Norway rat). RNAcentral describes it as "long non-coding RNA NONRATT015037". The record is from RNAcentral. Lineage: Eukaryota; Metazoa; Chordata; Mammalia; Rodentia; Muridae.